Molecule: ribosomal RNA, 505 nt
Filed under: uncultured bacterium
Lineage: Bacteria
Description: partial 16S ribosomal RNA
Rfam family: Bacterial small subunit ribosomal RNA
Source: RNAcentral
GACGAACGCUGGCGGCGUGCCUAAUACAUGCAAGUAGAACGCACAGUUUAUACCGUAGCUUGCUACACCAUAGACUGUGAGUUGCGAACGGGUGAGUAACGCGUAGGUAACCUGCCUGGUAGCGGGGGAUAACUAUUGGAAACGAUAGCUAAUACCGCAUAAUAUUGAUUAUUGCAUGAUAAUUGAUUGAAAGAUGCUAUUGCAUCACUACCAGAUGGACCUGCGUUGUAUUAGCUAGUAGGUGAGGUAACGGCUCACCUAGGCGACGAUACAUAGCCGACCUGAGAGGGUGAUCGCCCACCCUGGGACUGAGACACGGCCCAGACUCCUACGGGAGGCAGCAGUAGGGAAUCUUCGGCAAUGGACGAAAGUCUGACCGAGCAACGCCGCGUGAGUGAAGAAGGUUUUCGGAUCGUAAAGCUCUGUUGUAAGAGAAGAACGGGUGUGAGAGUGGAAAGUUCACACUGUGACGGUAUCUUACCAGAAAGGGACGGCUAACUACGUG